GGCCUACGGGACGCAGCAGUGAGGAAUAUUGGUCAAUGGGCGCAGGCCUGAACCAGCCAAGUCGCGUGAGGGAAGACUGCCCUAUGGGUUGUAAACCUCUUUUAUAAGGGAAGAAUAAUGACUACGUGUAGUCAGAUGCCCGUACCUUAUGAAUAAGCAUCGGCUAACUCCGUGCCAGCAGCCGCGGUAAUACGGAGGAUGCGAGCGUUAUCCGGAUUUAUUGGGUUUAAAGGGUGCGGAGGCGGGAGUUUAAGUUAGUGGUAAAACGUAGGGGGUUCACCUUGAUUGGCCAUUAAAACUGGAGG
RNAcentral lists this ribosomal RNA (305 nucleotides) under uncultured bacterium. RNAcentral describes it as "bacterial SSU rRNA". It matches the Rfam family "Bacterial small subunit ribosomal RNA", at positions 335 to 639 of the family's 1533-position model. The record is from RNAcentral.